AAGUCGUACCAAGGUUUCCGUAGGUGAACCUGCGGAAGGAUCAUUA
RNAcentral lists this ribosomal RNA (46 nucleotides) under Inocybe diversa. Its description in RNAcentral is "partial 18S ribosomal RNA". It matches the Rfam family "Eukaryotic small subunit ribosomal RNA", at positions 1786 to 1831 of the family's 1831-position model. Lineage: Eukaryota; Fungi; Basidiomycota; Agaricomycetes; Agaricales; Inocybaceae. The record is from RNAcentral.